Molecule: ribosomal RNA, 532 nt
Filed under: Pediococcus pentosaceus
Lineage: Bacteria; Bacillati; Bacillota; Bacilli; Lactobacillales; Lactobacillaceae
Description: bacterial SSU rRNA
Rfam family: Bacterial small subunit ribosomal RNA
Source: RNAcentral
UUGAGAUUUUAACACGAAGUGAGUGGCGAACGGGUGAGUAACACGUGGGUAACCUGCCCAGAAGUAGGGGAUAACACCUGGAAACAGAUGCUAAUACCGUAUAACAGAGAAAACCGCAUGGUUUUCUUUUAAAAGAUGGCUCUGCUAUCACUUCUGGAUGGACCCGCGGCGUAUUAGCUAGUUGGUGAGGUAAAGGCUCACCAAGGCAGUGAUACGUAGCCGACCUGAGAGGGUAAUCGGCCACAUUGGGACUGAGACACGGCCCAGACUCCUACGGGAGGCAGCAGUAGGGAAUCUUCCACAAUGGACGCAAGUCUGAUGGAGCAACGCCGCGUGAGUGAAGAAGGGUUUCGGCUCGUAAAGCUCUGUUGUUAAAGAAGAACGUGGGUAAGAGUAACUGUUUACCCAGUGACGGUAUUUAACCAGAAAGCCACGGCUAACUACGUGCCAGCAGCCGCGGUAAUACGUAGGUGGCAAGCGUUAUCCGGAUUUAUUGGGCGUAAAGCGAGCGCAGGCGGUCUUUUAAGUCUAA